GGGGUCAUGGUGUAACCUGGCAGCAUAUUAGGCUCCAGACCUGAGGAUUGGGGUUCAAAUCCCUAUGACCCCA
Molecule: transfer RNA, 73 nt
Filed under: archaeon
Lineage: Archaea
Also listed under: 2 other names
Description: tRNA-Trp
Rfam family: tRNA
About the family: Transfer RNA (tRNA) molecules are approximately 80 nucleotides in length. Their secondary structure includes four short double-helical elements and three loops (D, anti-codon, and T loops).
Source: RNAcentral